AGCAUAUCAAUAAGCGGAGGAAAAGAAACCAACAGGGAUUGCCUCAGUAACGGCGAGUGAAGCGGCAAAAGCUCAAAUUUGAAAUCUAGCACCUUCGGUGUUCGAGUUGUAAUUUGAAGAUGGCAACCUUGGGUUUGGCUCUUGUCUAUGUUCCUUGGAACAGGACGUCAUAGAGGGUGAGAAUCCCGUCUGAUGAGAUGCCCAUUCCUUUGUAAGGUGCUAUCGAAGAGUCGAGUUGUUUGGGAAUGCAGCUCUAAGUGGGUGGUAAAUUCCAUCUAAAGCUAAAUAUUGGCGAGAGACCGAUAGCGAACAAGUACAGUGAUGGAAAGAUGAAAAGAACUUUGAAAAGAGAGUGAAAAAGUACGUGAAAUUGUUGAAAGGGAAGGGCAUUAGAUCAGACUUGGUGUUUUAUGAUUAUCUUCUCUUCUUGAGUUGUGCACUCGUAUUUCACUGGGCCAGCAUCGAUUCGGAUGGCAAGAUAAUGACAGUUGAAUGUGGCUUCAUUCGUGGAGUGUUAUAGCUUCUGUUGAUAUUGCCUGUCUGGAUCGAGGGCUGCGUCUUUGACUAGGAUGCUGGCGUAAUGAUCUAAUGCCGCC
RNAcentral lists this ribosomal RNA (596 nucleotides) under Hansenula sydowiorum. RNAcentral describes it as "LSU rRNA". It matches the Rfam family "Eukaryotic large subunit ribosomal RNA", at positions 37 to 649 of the family's 3401-position model. The record is from RNAcentral. Lineage: Eukaryota; Fungi; Ascomycota; Saccharomycetes; Phaffomycetales; Wickerhamomycetaceae.